Long non-coding RNA from Xenia sp. Carnegie-2017, 1116 nucleotides. RefSeq lists it as uncharacterized. NCBI's taxonomy places the organism in Eukaryota, Metazoa, Cnidaria, Anthozoa, Malacalcyonacea, Xeniidae. The record is from RefSeq and is a predicted model, not a curated record. The transcript has 4 exons.
CGUUUCGACAACCUUAGUGGUAGUCAUCUUCUCUUUGAUUCAUUUGACUCUGAAAAGAGGACAGCUUCCUUGAGGUAGCAUCAGUUCAAAAGCAAAAGGAAAAUGCAAAUGCUAUUGAUAUAAGGAUGACAGCCUUGGAACGAAUGGGCGAAACAAACAAGAGAAAACCUGAUGGGCAAACUCAGAUGUUAAGCUUAAGAAGUACUCCGCGAUAGUUUUGAAUUAGUCGAAUAUUUGAGAGAAAGAUCAAGCAAGGAAAUUAAAAUCCGUCGUGCAGAACUAGAAGUAAAGCGAAAUGAGCAAGAAAUACAAAAUCAAUUGAGUACCCAAGCAGCUACACAACAAACAGAAGUCUUAAAAAUGAUGCAACAACAAAAUCUAAAAAUGAUGGAGAGGCAAGCUUUACUUCUUCAGCAACAACAGCAAAUGUCAACAGCAUUUCUUGACAUUAUUCAGAGGUUCACAACCAAAUGAACAAACAAGGAAUUAAACAUCAACUGCAAGUUGUAAUCUUAACUGUGCCAGUUGAUAGUAAUCUUCCUUUACAAGUUGUGCGAGCAAUUUUGCAAAGUAUGGAAGCGAUUGCUCCUCCACCAACUGGCGGAGAUAAUGAAGUAUCUAUUCAUUUCAAGGAAGGGACUGAAGCACAGAAUGAAUCAAUGGAUAUUGAUUGAUGUUGAAGUCAUGAUGGUGGUAGCGAAUAAAUCACACUAUUAAGCUAAUAUAGUUCAAGUUUAUUAUAAGUUCGCCAUUGUGUUACAUGUGCUCGACUCGACUGAAUAUAAAAUAGCAUGCAGUAAAAGUCCUAUAAGAAUGUUCACGUGUCUAUAAGGAAGUUAACUUAAGGAAAUAUCAAAUUACAAUGUUUAACCUAACACCCCCACUUAAACAUUAGUUUCUUUAGCUACAAAUAAAUGUAUUACAUUGGUAAACAAAGCAUAAUCUAAAAUUAUUUACAAGAUCAGUUACCAAAAACAGUAGACAUAAAAGUUUUUAAUUUUUGUGCAGAUAUUGGUUUAGUGAACAUAUCUGAUAUAUUAUCACUUGAAAUAACAUAUUUUACAUUAAUUAGACCCUUUUGUAUUUCUUGCCUAAUAAAAUGAUAGCGAAUAUCAA